UGUGAACUUAGCCGCUGAUUUUCGAUUUUUGAAUCUUUCAUGUCGCGGGCGUGCAUUAUUAUUUCAGAUUUUUAUUUAUUUUUGUAGAUAAUCAAUACCCCAUAAGCGUUGCUUGCGUACUCGAACAAUCAUUGACAAGACCUCGACAAACAUUUAUUAAUUUAUUACUUGAAAGAAAAAAUGCAGGCAUCAAAAAUCGAUCUUUUCACGGAGGUGCCGCCAGGUUGGCUAUGUCUGACCAGUCGUCUGACUUCUUUCAAACGCACUCUCUACUAGCGACUGUCAACAGAUACGUUUUUGAGCAAUACUAUUAUUUUUUACAUGCUUCCAUAAACGAUCGAAACUUGAGCACAUUUUCCUCAAUACACGAUAAAAUUAAAAAUGAUAUACAGAUUUUCAUGUACUUUACAUUUCUCAUCGUCGUUACAACGAGAGGGAAAAAAACAAGUAGCAGGGCAUGUUAGGUUAUGUUGUGAAUCUCGAGGAUCUCAAGCCAUGGAGGUUAAAGAAGACCUUUCAUGCUCGACGUGAUGGACGAAAUAGCACAAAUUUUGUACUAUUAUAUCAAUUCAUUUCGAGUACAAUGUGAAGAUUGUAGCACUAAAAACAUUGAAGAAUGAGACCACCGAGUUUAUCUUGGACACGAUAGCAACUUGGAAGACUUUCAUUAUUUCAAACAGUUUGUUAACUAGUAUGGUAUGCGCAUACUUAUCAAACAAAAUAAUAGUACAUGCUCCAAAGAUGAGACGUCGAAAAGCACGAGAGUCAAAGAAUUGAUUCGAGCGUUGUAUAUAUACCAAGUCUCGGUUACUCAAAAGGUCAAGUUCUGGAGAACCAAGGAUAUUCUAAGCGAUUCACAGAUUUUGGAUUACGUGACUCAAUUAUCAAAGUUCAAUCAAAACUGAAACAAAUGCAUUGACUGAAAAAUUCAAGCAAUAGCAAUACUUAUCCUUACAAAAUACUUGUACCAAUUCGGAUGCACACGGUGAUCUAUGGUCAGUGUAGAUAAACUGAUAAAAAAAUAAACUUGGCAUUACUGUCGGAGGUGAAUUUGUGAAUUGGUGGUGUAGACUCUGGUGAAUUCAUUGUGUAAUUCAUUUAAAGUAAUAAAUAUAAUAUGUAGUCUUUUUUGAA
This is a long non-coding RNA of Venturia canescens, 1134 nucleotides long. RefSeq lists it as uncharacterized. Lineage: Eukaryota; Metazoa; Arthropoda; Insecta; Hymenoptera; Ichneumonidae. The transcript has 3 exons. The record is from RefSeq and is a predicted model, not a curated record.